This 94-nucleotide ribosomal RNA is filed under the name Jutongia hominis. RNAcentral describes it as "partial 16S ribosomal RNA". It matches the Rfam family "Bacterial small subunit ribosomal RNA", at positions 1448 to 1533 of the family's 1533-position model. The record is from RNAcentral. Lineage: Bacteria; Bacillati; Bacillota; Clostridia; Lachnospirales; Lachnospiraceae.
GGGAGCUGCCGAAGGCAGGAUCGAUAACUGGGGUGAAGUCGUAACAAGGUAGCCGUAUCGGAAGGUGCGGCUGGAUCACCUCCUUUCUAAGAAA